Chinchilla lanigera (long-tailed chinchilla) is the source of this 141-nucleotide long non-coding RNA. RefSeq lists it as uncharacterized. The record is from RefSeq and is a predicted model, not a curated record. The transcript is spliced from 3 exons. NCBI's taxonomy places the organism in Eukaryota, Metazoa, Chordata, Mammalia, Rodentia, Chinchillidae.
UUAGACUACAUCUGUGGACUCUCCUUGUGCUGAACUUACCGUCCUUUUCUGGUGAGGUGUGCUUCCUGUCCUGCUCUCCACCAUGGACCUCAAGGGCAAAGGGUCCCUCCUCCUGCUGGUCAUGUCAAUCCUGGUCCUGUU